GGGCCUUUAGCUCAGUUGGUAGAGCAUCGGACUUUUAAUCCGCUGGUCGCGGGUUCGAAUCCCGCAGGGCCCACCA
This 76-nucleotide transfer RNA is filed under the name Nesterenkonia natronophila. RNAcentral's name for it is "Nesterenkonia sp. M8 tRNA-Lys". It matches the Rfam family "tRNA". Rfam says of the family: Transfer RNA (tRNA) molecules are approximately 80 nucleotides in length. Their secondary structure includes four short double-helical elements and three loops (D, anti-codon, and T loops). Lineage: Bacteria; Bacillati; Actinomycetota; Actinomycetes; Micrococcales; Micrococcaceae. The record is from RNAcentral. RNAcentral also lists the same sequence under 1 other name.